CCCGCCGGGGUCCCGCACGCACCGCGUCGGCGACGGCCAAGGUCAGCGGCGGCUGCGGCGCUAGCGAUGAUCGGGAGAGGAGGAUCUGCCUUCCCCGGUGGUGCGGAAGGCUUCGACCCUUCUCUGUCCCAUUUCCCUUCGCCAAGUCUGGCUUGAGCUUUUAUGGAUGCAAGCGGAAGGACAGCUCUCGUCUUUGUUGUGAGUGUGGCUUCUUGGGCUCCAGGGUAGAACCCUCAUCCCACCAGCACAGCUCCUUCACCCUGCUGGCAUAGACUUUCUGGCUUCCACUGCUGACCUUUGGGCCUUCCCAAUAUGGAUCCGUAAAAGAGACUGGCAUGAGUCCUUGUCAUGGGCGCUACACCUCCAUUUGGACUCUUGGGAGGCAUUGUCAUGGGCUCAAGGUUUUCAUCUGGACUCAUACAGGACAUUGCUGUAGGAUCCAGGCCCUUGGCUGAAUAUUCUGUGAAUAUUCUGAAUCUAGUGUUGUGGACAGAUUUCCUGCACUUUCUGUUUUUUCAACUCUGGGUGACCAUCAUAAAAUAAUGUUAUAAAUAAUAUUAUAAA
Molecule: long non-coding RNA, 564 nt
Organism: Cavia porcellus (domestic guinea pig)
Lineage: Eukaryota; Metazoa; Chordata; Mammalia; Rodentia; Caviidae
Exons: 2
Source: RefSeq, a predicted model, not a curated record